UACAGAGGGGGCGAGCGUUGUUCGGAAUUACUGGGCGUAAAGGGCGCGUAGGCGGCCUUCUAAGUCGUACGUGAAAUCCCCGGGCUCAACCCGGGAACUGCGUCCGAUACUGGGAGGCUUGAAUCCGGGAGAGGGAUGUGGAAUUCCAGGUGUAGCGGUGAAAUGCGUAGAUAUCUGGAGGAACACCGGUGGCGAAGGCGGCAGCCUGGACCGGUAUUGACGCUGAGGCGCGAAAGCCAGGGGAGCAAACGGG
Molecule: ribosomal RNA, 253 nt
Filed under: uncultured bacterium
Lineage: Bacteria
Description: partial 16S ribosomal RNA
Rfam family: Bacterial small subunit ribosomal RNA
Source: RNAcentral